This 468-nucleotide ribosomal RNA is filed under the name uncultured bacterium. RNAcentral's name for it is "partial 16S ribosomal RNA". It matches the Rfam family "Bacterial small subunit ribosomal RNA", at positions 28 to 507 of the family's 1533-position model. The record is from RNAcentral.
GACGAACGCUGGCGGCGUGCUUAACACAUGCAAGUCGAACGGAAAGGCCCUGCUUUUGUGGGGUGCUCGAUUGGCGAACGGGUGAGUAACACGUGAGUAACCUGCCCUUGACUUUGGGAUAACUUCAGGAAACUGGGGCUAAUACCGGAUAGGAGCUCCUGCUGCAUGGUGGGGAUUGGAAAGUUUCGGCGGUUGGGGCUGGACUCGCGGCUUAUCAGCUUGUUGGUGGGGUAGUGGCUUACCAAGGCUUUGACGGGUAGCCGGCCUGAGAGGGUGACCGGCCACAUUGGGACUGAGAUACGGCCCAGACUCCUACGGGAGGCAGCAGUGGGGAAUAUUGCACAAUGGGCGGAAGCCUGAUGCAGCAACGCCGCGUGCGGGAUGACGGCCUUCGGGUUGUAAACCGCUUUCGCCUGUGACGAAGCGUGAGUGACGGUAAUGGGUAAAGAAGCACCGGCUAACUACGUG